RNAcentral lists this ribosomal RNA (253 nucleotides) under uncultured bacterium. Its description in RNAcentral is "partial 16S ribosomal RNA". It matches the Rfam family "Bacterial small subunit ribosomal RNA", at positions 524 to 776 of the family's 1533-position model. The record is from RNAcentral.
UACAGAGGUCUCAAGCGUUGUUCGGAUUCAUUGGGCGUAAAGGGUGCGUAGGUGGCAGGGUAAGUCGGAUGUGAAAUCCCGGGGCUCAACCUCGGAACUGCAUUCGAUACUGCUUUGCUGGAGUACUGGAGAGGAGAUUGGAAUUUACGGUGUAGCAGUGAAAUGCGUAGAUAUCGUAAGGAAGACCAGUGGCGAAGGCGGAUCUCUGGACAGUUACUGACACUGAGGCACGAAGGCCAGGGGAGCAAACAGG